GAGAGAUCAUAAGGGAGCUGACUGCAAACCUGCCGUCAUCGACUUCAAGGUUCGACUCGAGCAAUAGUGAGAGAACGUUGCCGCAGGCAACGGCCCGAAGGGUGAGGAGCUUUAGCUCCGAAUAAUCCUUCCCGCUAUAGAA
This 142-nucleotide small RNA is filed under the name Salmonella enterica. RNAcentral describes it as "RtT sRNA". It matches the Rfam family "RtT RNA". From Rfam's summary of the family: This family represents a bacterial cis-regulatory element known as RtT RNA. The record is from RNAcentral. Lineage: Bacteria; Pseudomonadati; Pseudomonadota; Gammaproteobacteria; Enterobacterales; Enterobacteriaceae. RNAcentral also lists the same sequence under 1 other name.